GCUUGUGGGCGUUGUCGACCGACACCAAUAGCUGCUUGGGAUGUUUUGGAGUGGAUUUAUUGAUUGUGUAAGGGUGUACACACCCCAGUGUAAGGUUAGGGGUGAGGGUGUACACACCCCAGUGUAAGGUCAGGGGUGAGGGUGUGUGCACUGACCAGGGGGAAGGCUGCCUGCUCCCUGGAGUACGGUCGGUCCCAGCUGGAAGACGAGAUGGUGGCCAGG
Molecule: long non-coding RNA, 222 nt
Organism: Gadus macrocephalus (Pacific cod)
Lineage: Eukaryota; Metazoa; Chordata; Actinopteri; Gadiformes; Gadidae
Exons: 3
Source: RefSeq, a predicted model, not a curated record